GUGUAUUUGCGACCACAUACAUAACAUCUGGAUAUAUUAGAACCAUUUUGUUGUUGUUGUUGUGAUGAAAGUGAUUAAAAACCCCAUUCAAAGCUAACUAAGAAAAGAAAAGAAAAGACUUCCUCGUGGUCCCGUGAUUAAGGCUUUGUGCUCCCAAUGCAGGGAGUCCAUGUUCGAUCACUACUCAGAAAACUCAAUCCCACGUGCCACAAUUAAGAACCCACAUGAUGCAGUGCAGCCAAAUAAAUUAAAAAAGCAAAAGAAAAGGUAAGCCUGACUUUAGGCAGAGCUGGGCUCAGAGAGGUAGGAGAUGUACGAGAAUUUGGUGUGUUUAACUCACUCUGCACCUCUCAGCUCUGUUUUAUUCUAAGAAUUUUUUCACAUGGAGCAAAGGAGUCCUAUAUAUAGACACAGGAGCCAGAAGAAUUCCAGUUUCCCACGUUUCACAGCACCUGUGAUCCUAAGAGGCCUGGUUUCUGCCAGCACCUGUGUCAAUUCCUGAAAAAGGACUCUGUGUGUCUCAUCCCCAAACCAGUCAUUCCGGCCACGGAGAUGCAGUAUUGUUACUGACCAGGCUGGGGACACCGUGGCUGCCCAACCCCAAGAGCCAAGGUGAGGCGAGCUUUCAGUUUCCAGAGCCACAGAGACUGAGAAGGAGCAAGGAGUCAUUUCCCAAACAGAUGGCAGGCAGACAAAAAUAACAGAGCAUAUCCAGCUACUUCCUCUCCAUAAGAUCCUCAUGGACUGAUUUUGAUCAUGGAAAGAGUCUCUGAAAUCAGCCCCCUCUGAUCUCUGCCUCCUGGUAUUACAUUGUUCUAUGAUCCCCUCCCUUCCACGUGGGCUGGAUUGAGUGACUCACUUCUAGAGAAGACAAUCUGGUGGAGGCGAUGGUGUCAGUUCUGAGACUGGGUGAUGAAGGACUGCAGAUUCCAUCUUGGUGGCCCCAACUUUUGCUGCCUAUCUCUUGCCUGGUUCCCUUGGGGAAGCUGGCGACCAUGUUGUCAGUCAGCCCCUAUGCAGAGGCUCAGGUAAAGUCUACUCCUGCUGCUGCUUCUAAGUCGCUUCAGUCGUGUCCGACUCUGCGCGACCCCAUAGACGGCAGCACACCAGGCUCCUCUGUCCAUGGGAUUUUCCAGGCAAGGACACUGGAGUGGGUUGCCAUUGCCUUCUCCGAGGUGGAAGAAGUUAACUCUACUGUGAUCAGACUGUAGCCACAACAUAAGCUGCAACAGUUCUGAGAAUUGGCCUCAAAGAAAUGGGAACCCAGGAACUAAAGAUUUGCUGUACUUAAAAUGAUCAAGAAGAAACUGGUCAGACCACUGAUGACCGAUUUCAAGAUGAUCAUCACCACUGACUGUGUCGUUUCUACAUGGAGCCCCCUCCCUCCACCUGUAAAAGCUCUUGCCCGCUGGUUGUCAGGUGGGGGGAGUCAGCCUUUGGGCCUUCGUCCCCCUGCCUCACCAGUUUGCCAGCAUCCAAAAUAAAGCAAGCUUUCCUUUCCACCAACCUUGCCUCUUUAUUGGCUUUUGAGCAGUGAGCAGCUAGGCCCCACUUUUUAUUACAGUGUCUGCAGGGUUAGAUGUUCUGCUGUCUGUAGGAUCUGGAGCAG
This is a long non-coding RNA of Bos taurus (domestic cattle), 1609 nucleotides long. The record is from Ensembl. Lineage: Eukaryota; Metazoa; Chordata; Mammalia; Artiodactyla; Bovidae.